UUUAAAAAAAAAAAAGACCUUUCACUUUUUGGAAAAUGGUCGUCAAAUCAUGUGCUUCCCUUUUCUAGAUGAGCUGUCAUCUUAUUAAAUUGGAAGGAGAAGGGCGUGAAGGCAGAGAGUGGCCGUGGAUGUAUUUUCAAGACGACUAUGGAGACAAGCAGCUCCCAUUCAGCAGGAUGGUCUUUGUGUCUGGCUGACCUAUGGACACAAUGUGUCUCUUGCAUUUCCCGACCCGAGGUGUUAAACCAGCGCAGCUCGGUGCUAUGGCAUGUGGUCUUACUGGUCCUCCCCUGGCUCUUUUGGGGCCUGCAGCCUGUGCUGCAGAAGCUGGUUUUGUGCGUUUGCUGGAGUAGCAGUUAGUGAGCAGCAGUGUCCUGAGCAGCCUGAUACAUUCCAGCUCCCGGAGGGUGAAGGGCCCCAACUCGCUGCGGCAGCGCCAUCCCUUCCUCUGAGCCUUGUCAGCGCUGAACUUGGAUGGGAGGAGGCUUAGUGACCUGUCCCCAGAUCAGCCUUGAACACUCAAAGAAAAAUCUGCCUGCUCUGAAUAUUGCCUGAGGAUUUAGAAAGGUCUUUCUUGGAAACAGAAGAAUGAGAUGAAACAAUCAUCUGUAAAGCAUGGUAAGAGAGAAAAAGAAUAAAGGAAUGAGUUAUGUUUGGCUUGUCUUCA
Molecule: long non-coding RNA, 667 nt
Filed under: Anser brachyrhynchus (Pink-footed goose)
Lineage: Eukaryota; Metazoa; Chordata; Aves; Anseriformes; Anatidae
Description: lncRNA (ENSABRG00000010047.1)
Source: RNAcentral